Long non-coding RNA from Oncorhynchus tshawytscha (Chinook salmon), 974 nucleotides. Lineage: Eukaryota; Metazoa; Chordata; Actinopteri; Salmoniformes; Salmonidae. The record is from Ensembl.
GUUUAAGUCCACACUGCACAGGUCCAUCUCUAGUGAAUACAAGCAGCCUGCCCAGACUCACACACGGCUCCAGGACCAGAGGUGAGUGCCAGUCCGAAGAGGGACAUCAAGGCCCAAGGAGCGAGGCCUCAUUCCGUUAAGUCAUGCCCAGCGCCCCAGCGACCUGGGAGUCGCCCAACCACAACACAGGACAUCCUUAAAGCUGGAUCUGUGGGGUCAGGACUCUGUGUGCCUGGGGGGUCGGGACUCCGUGUGCCUGGGGGGUCAGGACUCCGUGGUGUAAUGAGCGACCAGCCCUGGAAGCCCCUGACUCUGGCUGCGUUACGUCCAUCUGACUCCAGGUCUAAUUACGGCGCUGUGGAGAGGAUCCUGAAGAGCUACGAGAACACUGCCUGGAGCCAGCGGUACCAGAACCAUACCCAACCCACUGACCCCAGCCCUAACCCUGGUCUCAGCCCCAGCCCUAACCCUGGUCUCAGCCCCCGUCUCAGCCCCAGCCCUAACCCUGGUCCCAGCCCCAGACAGGAAGAGGAACUCAUGGAUCUUCUGGAGGAGAUGAUGGAUAAGGAUUACUGGGAUCAGUCAGGCCCUGCCUCUGGACACUCCUCCCACACACACUCUCACCACAGCCAGCUGACCAGCUCCCACAGAGAGACAAGGCUAACCAUGCAGGAGUGUAAAGUAUCAUCCAGCUCCUCAUCAGUCCAGAAGAAUUUCUCUCGUCCGGCCUGUCCAGCCAACCGCCGCCCCCCGUCACGCUGGGCUAGUUGUUCCCCCUCCACCUCUUCCUCCUCCUCCUCCUCCUCCUCCACCCCUAUAAACCAGCCCUCUUCCGGCUCCGCCCACAAACACACCUCAUUCUCCUACUCAGCCUAUCACACGGAGACAGUCAUCAUCUGACCCCUUAGCUGACCCUGUGUUUCAACCAAUAAGAUGCCUUUCGUUACUAUACGUACUCUGACAUUUCUUUUCUC